GUGCUCGCUUUGGCAGCACGUGUACUAAAAUUGGAAGGAUACAGAGAAGAUUAACGUGGCCCCUGUGCAAGGUUGACAUAAAAAUCCCCAAAGCGUUCUGUAUUUCU
Molecule: small nuclear RNA, 107 nt
Organism: Ailuropoda melanoleuca (giant panda)
Lineage: Eukaryota; Metazoa; Chordata; Mammalia; Carnivora; Ursidae
Source: Ensembl